GGGCUAGCAGCAAAGAAGGCACACAUCCUCAAGAACAUUGGUGUUGCAAACUUGAACACCAAGAAGAGAUCAGCGUCAGGAUCUUCGUCAUUCCACUCUACCCAAAUGAACAAGAGACGAGUUCGAAGAGGGUCCGAUCCAAUCCACAACAGGAGCUGAAUUCUAGUGUAUCCCUGUUGUAUUGCAGAGCUGCAAUGGAGGAAGAAGCAUGAACAAGGAAGUGUCCAUGUGUUGGUGGAGAAACUACAAGGUUUUAUUGAUCUAAGAUUCCUUUUGUUUUCUGUCUCCUCAUCUGGUUCUGAAACAGAGCAAUUUGUACAGAGGUGAUAUAGAAAAGAUGCCGUUCGCUAGUCUCUGUUCUAUUAUUAAGAUAGUAUUAGAAGGUGAUGGAGGAUAAUGUUGGAUAUC
This 408-nucleotide long non-coding RNA is filed under the name Elaeis guineensis (African oil palm). RNAcentral describes it as "long non-coding RNA (EGUI_LNC007338)". The record is from RNAcentral. Lineage: Eukaryota; Viridiplantae; Streptophyta; Magnoliopsida; Arecales; Arecaceae.